Molecule: long non-coding RNA, 1457 nt
Organism: Varanus komodoensis (Komodo dragon)
Lineage: Eukaryota; Metazoa; Chordata; Lepidosauria; Squamata; Varanidae
Exons: 3
Source: RefSeq, a predicted model, not a curated record
AGCUUUCCCCUUUGCCAUCCUUCUUGCUGGUGUCCAACCUCCCCCUCGUUCUACCUUCACAGUGAAUUGGGCCCCUCAUUCCCGCCCGAGCCAUCUGGGAAGAACAAACAGCUGGGAAAUUUGAAGGCGGCUUAAAGAACUGACAAACGAGGAGCGUGUUUGGCAGCGAGCUGCACUGCCCUGGAGUGCAGGACGGACUUUCCGAGUGUCUUGUCGUGCACCUUUCCUUCUCCGAGCUUCACGCUGAAGAUGCCCAUUCGACUUGAGCAGAGGGACAGCUACUCAUGACACUCCACGGGGCAACUAGAGGGUCUCAGCUCAGCUCAGCUCAUCACUCCCACCAACCUACAGGUUCUGCCUGCUCAUUUCUAUAACUCUGGGCUGUUGCAGUUUGGUCUCUGGUGGUUCAGUCUGGAUUUGGAAGGAAGCCAGAGCUCUGCCCUGAUCCUUCAAGAGGGGAACUCAAGGCAGCUUACAUAAUUCUCCUCCUCCUCUCAGUCUUACCUUUGCAACAAGAGCACUGUGAGUUAGGUGGGGCUGAGAGUCUGUGACUGGCCCAAAGUCACCCAGUGAGCCUUAUGGCUGAGUGGAGACUCGAAUCCAGGUCACCUGAGUCCCAGUCCCACACUUUUAACCACUACACCACACUGGCUGUCAAUAACAACCACCAUCACCACAACAAUGAUACAUAGCUACUAGGUAUGGAUUUCAAGUAAUGCCUGUUUUGGCCUUUGUGCAUGUGAACUCCCAGCUCAACUUUCUGCUCAGCCAUGAAGAUAUCUCUUGCUCCUGGACAAAUCACUUUGCCUUCCCUUUCCCCACUGAGCUCUUAUUUGGGGGUGGGGAUGAAUAACUCCAUAUAUGAAGCCCUGCUGUCUUUGUAGGAAGGGGCAAAAAGCAAAUUUAAUGCAUUCUAAAAAAACAUUGAUAAAUACAAACACAGAAACAUAGAAACAGAACAAGUCAGGAGCCUCUUGGGCCAUCUAGUCUAACCCCCAGCUCCAGCCUGCUCCACUCAUGACAUACCUAAAUGCAGACUGUGUGUUCAGAGAGGCAGCAAAUACAUGAUGAAAAACAAUGAGGCUAUCGGCAAAGUGACUGAUGUAAGAAAACGUGAUUAUGUGAUGCUAACCAUGCCAAUUCUAGCUGAUUUCUUCUCUGUCCACAACCAAGAGUUCAUUCGAAGUAACAUCAGUUAAAAACAGCAAUAGUUAAAACCAGCAGAAUAAAGUGUGCAUGAGUAGCAAAUAAUACAUGCUAGGUGCUGCCCAUUUAAGCUGUAUUACCUUAAAUCUGUUCCGUCUGUUUGGUGUCUUAGUUCUAACAUCUGCUCAUCAACAGAAUCAGAUUUUUAAAAAUUAAAAUUUUGUUCUACUUGAGUUAAUUUGCAUUAGUGCUAAUGCUUUGGCCAUGUGCUCCAAUGCACUCAUAUGUACUUGUGCUAAUGUAUAUUUGCA